This is a long non-coding RNA of Leptinotarsa decemlineata (Colorado potato beetle), 581 nucleotides long. The record is from RefSeq and is a predicted model, not a curated record. Lineage: Eukaryota; Metazoa; Arthropoda; Insecta; Coleoptera; Chrysomelidae.
ACAGUUGACCAGUGUCAUUGCAGUGGAUUGAUGAAUGGACAAAAAAGUUAGAGAUUUUGAGUGUUGUGAUGACUUUUGAAAAUCUCACUGAGAAAUAAAAGCAGCAAGUUGAAUAUAUUGAUCAAUAGUUCGCAACGUUUCUAUGAAAGAAAGAUUACGAGUAAUUUCCUAGAUAGAAACUAAUGAGUGUUAAAUUGGUUCUGAAAAAGUGGCAACAUUUUUUUUUAUAUGAUGGAAGUAGAUCUGAUGACUUAUGGUGAUGAAAAAACCGAAAUGAAAUUUCAGAAAGAAAAUGUCUACAAUAAACUGCUGCCAUAUGGAGACGAACUGGAGGAGGAAUCUUCUAAGCUAUAUUCUGAUAUUAAAACUAACCUAGUUAAAUCUGUUCUGGCUAGAGAAAUGCGACCUGGAUGUGCCUUAUGGACAUCUAGAUUAAUCAAGUAUAUAAAAAUAUAUGGGAUGAAGUUUUCUAAAGAGGAUCAUAUUGCUUUGAUAAAAUUAUUCUAUGAGCUAGUUAUUAUCCCAGACUUGGAGCCUACAAGAGUCAAUAAGUGUGCAAGCACCCUUAUUCAGCUACUGAA